Molecule: ribosomal RNA, 792 nt
Filed under: uncultured Neocallimastigales
Lineage: Eukaryota; Fungi; Neocallimastigomycota; Neocallimastigomycetes; Neocallimastigales
Description: partial large subunit ribosomal RNA
Rfam family: Eukaryotic large subunit ribosomal RNA
Source: RNAcentral
ACACUGACGUCGCGACGCAUAUCAAUAAGCGGAGGAAAAGAAACUAACAUAGGAUUCCCUCAGUAACGGCGAGUGAAGCGGGAAGAGCUCAAAUUUGAAAUCUUCAAGGUUCUACCUUGACGAAUUGUAGUUUAAAGAAGUGUUUUUCGGUUAGAGAGUUUAGUAAAAGUUCUUUGGAAUAGGACAUCAUAGAGGGUGAGAAUCCCGUAUUUGGUCAUUCCUUCUAGCUUUGUGAUACACUUUCAAAGAGUCGGAUUGUUUGGGAAUGCAGUCCAAAAUGGGUGGUAAAUUUCAUCUAAAGCUAAAUAUUGGCGAGAGGACCGAUAGCGAACAAGUACCGUGAGGGAAAGAUGAAAAGAACUUUGAAAAGAGAGUUAAACAGUACGUGAAAUUGUCAAAAGGGAAGCGUUUCGACACCAGUGUUGUUUUUCCGAAAAUCAAUUACUAAAUGGCUUUGAUUUUGAGGAGUUGUAUUGACCUUAUCAGGCUUUCCUUCUACUUUUUCCAAGUAACUUUCUGUAAUGCACUUUUCGGUUAACAAGUCAACAUCAAUUUCUUUUGUUGUAAAAGAGUAUUCGGAAGGUGGCUUUCUUUUCGGAGAAAGUGUUUAUAGCCCUAUACUUCUACAAUCGGAGAGAUUGAGGUCUGCAGCGUAGAUCCUUCGGGGUUAGAUACACUUUGUGCUAAGUUAUAGCUUUUCAUAGACAACUUGUUGACUAUGUUUAGUCUUAGUAGCUUACUCGCUUGUGCUAUUUUACCUACGCUUAGGAUGUUGAGUCGUAGAGCACGCAG